GGGGCGUUACACCCUAUGGGCGAAUGAUUAGCGGCGCGAAUCGCCCUUAGAGUUUGAUCCUGGCUCAGGACGAACGCUGGCGGCGCGCCUAACACAUGCAAGUCGAACGAGCGAGAGAGAGCUUGCUUUCUCAAGCGAGUGGCGAACGGGUGAGUAACGCGUGAGGAACCUGCCUCAAAGAGGGGGACAACAGUUGGAAACGACUGCUAAUACCGCAUAAGCCCACAGCUCGGCAUCGAGCAGAGGGAAAAGGAGCAAUCCGCUUUGAGAUGGCCUCGCGUCCGAUUAGCUAGUUGGUGAGGUAACGGCCCACCAAGGCGACGAUCGGUAGCCGGACUGAGAGGUUGAACGGCCACAUUGGGACUGAGACACGGCCCAGACUCCUACGGGAGGCAGCAGUGGGGAAUAUUGCACAAUGGGGGAAACCCUGAUGCAGCGACGCCGCGUGGAGGAAGAAGGUCUUCGGAUUGUAAACUCCUGUUGUUGAGGAAGAUAAUGACGGUACUCAACAAGGAAGUGACGGCUAACUACGUGCCAGCAGCCGCGGUAAAACGUAGGUCACAAGCGUUGUCCGGAAUUACUGGGUGUAAAGGGAGCGCAGGCGGGAAGACAAGUUGGAAGUGAAAUCUAUGGGCUCAACCCAUAAACUGCUUUCAAAACUGCUUUUCUUGAGUAGUGCAGAGGUAGGCGGAAUUCCCGGUGUAGCGGUGGAAUGCGUAGAUAUCGGGAGGAACACCAGUGGCGAAGGCGGCCUACUGGGCACCAACUGACGCUGAGGCUCGAAAGUGUGGGUAGCAAACAGGAUUAGAUACCCUGGUAGUCCACACCGUAAACGAUGAUUACUAGGUGUUGGAGGAUUGACCCCUUCAGUGCCGCAGUUAACACAAUAAGUAAUCCACCUGGGGAGUACGACCGCAAGGUUGAAACUCAAAGGAAUUGACGGGGGCCCGCACAAGCAGUGGAGUAUGUGGUUUAAUUCGACGCAACGCGAAGAACCUUACCAAGUCUUGACAUCCCUUGACGAUGCUGGAAACAGUAUUUCUCUUCGGAGCAAGGAGACAGGUGGUGCAUGGUUGUCGUCAGCUCGUGUCGUGAGAUGUUGGGUUAAGUCCCGCAACGAGCGCAACCCUUACUGUCAGUUACUACGCAAGAGGACUCUGGCAGGACUGCCGUUGACAAAACGGAGGAAGGUGGGGAUGACGUCAAAUCAUCAUGCCCUUUAUGACUUGGGCUACACACGUACUACAAUGGCGUUAAACAAAGAGAAGCAAGACCGCGAGGUGGAGCAAAACUCAGAAACAACGUCCCAGUUCGGACUGCAGGCUGCAACUCGCCUGCACGAAGUCGGAAUUGCUAGUAAUCGUGGAUCAGCAUGCCACGGUGAAUACGUUCCCGGGCUAAUCUACACACCGCCCGUCAAGGGCGAAUUCGUCAAACGCACCGANCG
RNAcentral lists this ribosomal RNA (1447 nucleotides) under uncultured bacterium. RNAcentral's name for it is "bacterial SSU rRNA". It matches the Rfam family "Bacterial small subunit ribosomal RNA". The record is from RNAcentral.